Molecule: ribosomal RNA, 253 nt
Filed under: uncultured bacterium
Lineage: Bacteria
Description: partial 16S ribosomal RNA
Rfam family: Bacterial small subunit ribosomal RNA
Source: RNAcentral
GACGGAGGAUGCAAGCGUUAUCUGGAAUGAUUGGGCGUAAAGCGUCCGCAGGUGGCAGUUCAAGUCUGCUGUCAAAGACCGGGGCUUAACUUCGGAAAGGCAGUGGAAACUGAACAGCUAGAGUAUGGUAGGGGCAGAGGGAAUUCCUGGUGUAGCGGUGAAAUGCGUAGAGAUCAGGAAGAACAUCGGUGGCGAAGGCGCUCUGCUGGACCAUAACUGACACUCAGGGACGAAAGCUAGGGGAGCGAAUGGG